AUAUGAAGCCUCUAAGGUCUUGUAAAAAUGCAGACUCUAAUUCAGAUUCUGGGUGGGGCCUGAGAUUCUGCAGUUUGAAUAAGUUCCCAGGUGAAGCCCAC
This 101-nucleotide microRNA precursor is filed under the name Marmota monax (woodchuck). The record is from RNAcentral. Lineage: Eukaryota; Metazoa; Chordata; Mammalia; Rodentia; Sciuridae.